CUGCCACCGUGCCGCUGCCGCUAUUGCUGUCACUUCUGCUGUGGCUGUUGCUUCCCAGGGGCUGCAGGAGCAUGGACUACUAAACCCCACACUUCUUCAGCUUGAGUGUCACUGAUGAAGCUGCUGUAGUUAUCACCCUCUACCCGGUGCAGUGGCUUGGUCUCGGGCAGUCAGCUUUAACGUACCACUCGGCAAGCAUUGGUGCACAUGUCGGCUGCGAUGGCACUCAUCUCACUCUCCCUGAAGUUGGGGCAGUAGAACUUGGCAGCGUGGAGGACAGGAAAGCGCAGUGGCUUGCAUCCUGUGUUAGGGGAAGAACAAAUGCUGGUACCAUAGCUGUUGGCCAGUGUGUUCCAGUCACAGAAGGAAGCCAGGAGCCGCUGCAGCAAGACCUUGUGCUGCAAGCCUGUACUAAUGUGGCAGUGCCCUUGUCCUGUUGCACACAUUGGUGCCCGUCACGAGCCCCGGCUUCUCUGAGGGUCACCUUCAUUAUAAGCUUUGGGUUGCAGCGAUUGCCAGUCUGGUUGGUAGCUUCAGCUGAGAGAGACGCUGGGUCUUGCCAAACUCGUUGAACAUGACUGCAGGACUCAAAGACCACCUACUCACAGAGGGCCUCUACCUUCUCAGCCGUCUGGCCAAUGUUCAAUACACUGUAUACGGAUACAUGUUGUGGAUCUGACAGUGCUGCUCUUCUCUGCCCUCCUCACCUGCAUCAUCCUCUUCGUCUUCUUUGUUGUGGUGGAGCUGGGGCUGUCACUGGUAUAAGCACUGGAGGUACCUGGGCUGCUCAGCUCUGCCGUGCUGGG
RNAcentral lists this long non-coding RNA (806 nucleotides) under Rattus norvegicus (Norway rat). RNAcentral describes it as "long non-coding RNA NONRATT026879". Lineage: Eukaryota; Metazoa; Chordata; Mammalia; Rodentia; Muridae. The record is from RNAcentral.